Molecule: ribosomal RNA, 390 nt
Filed under: uncultured Mollicutes bacterium
Lineage: Bacteria; Bacillati; Mycoplasmatota; Mollicutes
Description: bacterial SSU rRNA
Rfam family: Bacterial small subunit ribosomal RNA
Source: RNAcentral
CCAUUGACAGGCACAGAGAUGUGCUCUCCUUCGGGCAAUGGAUACAGGUGGUGCAUGGUUGUCGUCAGCUCGUGCCGUGAGGUGUUGGGUUAAGUCCCGCAACGAGCGCAACCCUCAUUGUUAGUUACUACCAUUCAGUUGAGGACUCUAAUGAGACUGCCAACGACAAGUUGGAGGAAGGUGGGGAUGACGUCAAAUCAUCAUGCCCUUUAUGACCUGGGCUACAAACGUACUACAAUGGCCAAUACAAAGAGAUGCGAAGCGGUGACGUGGAGCGAACCUCAGAAAGUUGGUCUCAGUUCAGAUUGAAGUCUGCAACUCGACUUCAUGAAGGCGGAAUCGCUAGUAAUCGCGGGUCAGCAGACCGCGGUGAAUACGUUCCCGGGCCUU